This 72-nucleotide transfer RNA is filed under the name Camelus bactrianus (Bactrian camel). It matches the Rfam family "tRNA". Rfam says of the family: Transfer RNA (tRNA) molecules are approximately 80 nucleotides in length. Lineage: Eukaryota; Metazoa; Chordata; Mammalia; Artiodactyla; Camelidae. The record is from Rfam by way of RNAcentral. RNAcentral also lists the same sequence under 2 other names.
GGAGGUAUAGCUCAGUGGUAGAGCGCAUGCUUAGCAUGCACCAGGUCCUGGGUUCAGUCCCCAGCACCUCGA